This 1147-nucleotide unclassified non-coding RNA is filed under the name Hevea brasiliensis (rubber tree). The record is from RNAcentral. Lineage: Eukaryota; Viridiplantae; Streptophyta; Magnoliopsida; Malpighiales; Euphorbiaceae.
AAAAAACAGAGAUAAAGAUCGCUGACGAAUUUAUAGCUACUGUAUAAUCGGGGUAUAACUCCGAUCUUAGAGCAGCAAAUCGAGCUGUUUUGGGUCGUUAAUUCCUUUUUUACUCUCCAUCAAAAUGGCAGAUGCUUACUGGAGAGUCACCGACGGCCGGAUACAUCCCGUAUCUCUUCCUCCGGUACCCUCAAAACGCCCGAGGACCGAAAAUGAUGUUCCAAGUGGUCCUGAGAUGCUUGGCAGUCAUAGCCACAAUGAUGUACAAGGAAUGCAUCAUGCCAUUAGAGAAACAGAUCCUAUUGAAACAUCCUAUGAACAAUACUUACGAAGCGGGCAAACUUCAUCGUAUGCUGGUGGUGACUCUGCAAAUUCCAUGAGUAAUGGAGUAGGCAGUCAUUCUAUUGACGGUCCACGUGUUAUGGGUACUGUGGGAUCAGAGCCGGUUGCUGCUAGAAGCAGGACCAUUGGGUUUGGAGGUGUUAGACCAGAAGUUCCUCUUCCACCUGAGGCUAGCAGUACAUUGUUUGUGGAGGGGUUGCCUGCUCAUUGCACCCGAAGAGAGGUGUCACAUAUAUUUCGACCAUUCGUAGGUUUCAAAGAAGUUAGACUGGUGAUCAAAGAAUCACGACAUCCAGGAGGGCAUCCAUUUGUUCUUUGCUUUGUUGAUUUUAUGAGUCCAUCCCAUGCAGCCACUGCUAUGGAUACUUUACAAGGUUAUAAAUUGGACGAGCAUGACCGUGAUUCACCCAACUUAAGGCUGCAAUUUGCACGCCGUCCUGGUGCCAGGUCAGGUGGUGGGUAUCGCGGAAAGCAUUGAAUUAUGCAUCUUUACAGGACCAACUUGAAUUCGGAGAUUACAUGUUUGCGGUUAUGUGUUUGACAUCUCUCUCUCUGAGUGGGUGGUUCAUUAGGACCAGCGUUUUCUCCUUGCAUGGGAAGAAAUUGUAGUUUGUGUAUUAGCAUUUAACUUUCAUUUCCGUGUCAAUUCUGCGCCGUCCUUUGCAGAACAUGGGUGUUGUUAUAUUUCAUAUCCUGAUUGCUGAAAGAUGAUUUCAGUUUUAUCUGGCGCGUAGGAUGUUAUUUAUAAAUUAUAAUACACCAUUGUAACUUUAAUGAUAAGUGGUAAGUAUUUUUUACUAUUUUU